RNAcentral lists this non-coding RNA (97 nucleotides) under Paenibacillus mucilaginosus. Its description in RNAcentral is "c-di-GMP sequence". It matches the Rfam family "c-di-GMP-I riboswitch aptamer". From Rfam's summary of the family: GEMM was predicted in a large-scale screen for bacterial structured RNA regulatory elements. Genes associated with GEMM are involved in a diverse array of functions, including chemotaxis regulation, signal transduction, secretion and chitin. RNAcentral also lists the same sequence under 1 other name. Lineage: Bacteria; Bacillati; Bacillota; Bacilli; Caryophanales; Paenibacillaceae. The record is from RNAcentral.
ACGCGAGAAUGGCAAACUUGAUGAAAAUCAAGGACGCAAAGUCAUGGGCCAAAAGUCUUAAACCCAUACAUAAGAUCAUGGCAGCCGGGCUGCAUUC